AUGAAUACCAUGGAACCAGGAUCACAGGCCCUGGUUAUUGUGGGGGAUUUCAACUACCCUGACAUUUGCUGGAAGGCCUACUCAGCCAGCCAUCCGCAGUCCAGGAGGUUCCUUCAUUGUAUUGAUGAUAACUUCCUGAUGCAAAUGGUGGACGUGCCAACUAGGAGAGGAGCGCUGCUGGAUCUUGUCCUCGCUAACAAGGAGGGUCUGGUUGAAACGGUGAAGGUUGAGGGCAGCCUUGGUUGCAGCGACCAUGAGACGGUGGAGUUUGGGAUCUCAUGUGGCAGGAACAGAGUACCGAGCAGAAUCGCAACCCUGGACUUCAGUAGGGCCGACUUUGGCCUUUUCAAGCAUUUGCUAGGGGAAAUUCCAUGGGACAAGGUACUUGAAGGAAAAGGAGCCCAAGACAGCUGGUUAGCAUUCAAGGACUGCUUCUUCCGAGCUCAAGAACAGAGCAACCCAACAGGUAAGAAGUCAGGAAAGAGAGCCAGGAGACCUUCAUGGUUAAACAGGGAAGUGCUGGGCAAACUCAGGUGGAAGAGGACAGUCUACAGAUCAUGGAAGGAGGGGCUGGCCACUUACGAGGAAUAUAAGGCUGUUGUCAGAGGAUUUAGGGAGGCAACUAGGAAAGCUAAGGCCUCCUUAGAAUUAAACCUUGCGAGAAGGGUCAAGGACAACAGAAAGAGCUUCUUCAAAUACAUUGCAGAUAAAACUAACACUAGAGGCAAGGUAGGCCCACUAAUGAAUGAGGUGGGUGCUCUGGCAACAGAAGAUAAAGAGAAGGCAGAGUUACUGAAUGCCUUCGUCUCUGUCUAUAAUGCCAGUGACUCUCCUGAGGAGCUCUGUACCCCUGAGGCCCCAGAUGAAGUCAGAAUAAAGGAGGAGUUUGCCUUGGUUGAUGAGGGCUGGGUUAAGGACCAAUUAAGCAAGAUGGACAUCCACAAGUCCAUGGGUCCUGAGGGGAUGCACCUGCAGGUGCUGAGGGAGCUGGCAGAAGUCAUUGCUAGCCCACUCUCCAUCAUCUUUGGUAAGUCGUGGGCAUCGGGAGAGGUGCUUGAGCACUGA
RNAcentral lists this long non-coding RNA (1065 nucleotides) under Anser cygnoides (Swan goose). RNAcentral describes it as "lncRNA (ENSACDG00005019017.1)". Lineage: Eukaryota; Metazoa; Chordata; Aves; Anseriformes; Anatidae. The record is from RNAcentral.